UUGAACGCUGGCGGCAGGCCUAACACAUGCAAGUCGAGCGAGAAAGCACUUCGGUGCGAGUACAGCGGCGGACGGGUGAGUAACGCGUAGGAAUCUACCUAGUAGUGGGGGACAACAUGUGGAAACGCAUGCUAAUACCGCAUACGCCCUAAGGGGGAAAGCAGGGGAUCUUCGGACCUUGGGCUAUUGGAUGAGCCUGCGUCAGAUUAGCUAGUUGGUGGGGUAAUGGCCUACCAAGGCAACGAUCUGUAGCUGGUCUGAGAGGAUGACCAGCCACACUGGAACUGAGACACGGUCCAGACUCCUACGGGAGGCAGCAGUGGGGAAUAUUGGACAAUGGGGGGAACCCUGAUCCAGCCAUGCCGCGUGAGUGAAGAAGGCCUUCGGGUUGUAAAGCUCUUUCAGCCGGAACGAAACGGUUACGAUUAAUACUCGUAAUUAAUGACGGUACCGGCAGAAGAAGCACCGGCUAACUACGUGCCAGCAGCCGCGGUAAUACGUAGGGUGCGAGCGUUAAUCGGAAUUACUGGGCGUAAAGGGUCCGCAGGUUGUUUUGUAAGUCAGAUGUGAAAGCCCCGGGCUUAACCUGGGAACUGCGUCUGAAACUACAAGGCUAGAGUAUGGCAGAGGGGGGUGGAAUUCCGCGUGUAGCAGUGAAAUGCGUAGAUAUGUGGAGGAACACCGAUGGCGAAGGCAGCCCCCUGGGUCAAUACUGACGCUGAGGGACGAAAGCAUGGGGAGCAAACAGGAUUAGAUACCCUGGUAGUCCAUGCCCUAAACGAUGUCAACUAGUUGUCGGGCCUUUACGGGCUUGGUAACGUAGCUAACGCGUGAAGUUGACCGCCUGGGGAGUACGAUCGCAAGAUUAAAACUCAAAUGAAUUGACGGGGACCCGCACAAGCGGUGGAUUAUGUGGAUUAAUUCGAUGCAACGCGAAAAACCUUACCUACCCUUGACAUGUAUCGAAGCCCGCAGAAAAGCGGAGGUGCCCGAAAGGGAACGAUAACACAGGUGCUGCAUGGCUGUCGUCAGCUCGUGUCGUGAGAUGUUGGGUUAAGUCCCGCAACGAGCGCAACCCUUGUCAUUAAUUGCCAUCAUUUAGUUGGGCACUUUAAUGAGACUGCCGGUGACAAACCGGAGGAAGGUGGGGAUGACGUCAAGUCCUCAUGGCCCUUAUGGGUAGGGCUUCACACGUAAUACAAUGGCGCGUACAGAGGGUUGCCAACCCGCGAGGGGGAGCUAAUCUCAGAAAGCGCGUCGUAGUCCGGAUCGGAGUCUGCAACUCGACUCCGUGAAGUCGGAAUCGCUAGUAAUCGCGGAUCAGCAUGUCGCGGUGAAUACGUUCCCGGGUCUUGUACACACCGCCCGUCACACCAUGGGAGUGGGUUCCACCAGAAGC
Molecule: ribosomal RNA, 1399 nt
Filed under: uncultured bacterium
Lineage: Bacteria
Description: bacterial SSU rRNA
Rfam family: Bacterial small subunit ribosomal RNA
Source: RNAcentral